UUAUGGCUCAGGAUGAACGCUGGCGGCGUGCUUAACACAUGCAAGUCGAACGAAGCAUUUCUAACUCUUCGGAGGAGGAAAUGACUGAGUGGCGGACGGGUGAGUAACGCGUGGGUAACCUGCCUUAUACAGGGGGAUAACAGUUAGAAAUGACUGCUAAUACCGCAUAACCCGCUAGUACCGCAUGGUACAGACGGAAAAGAUUUAUCGGUAUAAGAUGGACCCGCGUCUGAUUAGCUAGUUGGUGAGGUAAUGGCUCACCAAGGCGACGAUCAGUAGCCGGCUUGAGAGAGUGAACGGCCACAUUGGGACUGAGACACGGCCCGAACUCCUACGGGAGGCAGCAGUGGGGAAUAUUGCACAAUGGGGGAAACCCUGAAUGCAGCAACGCCGCGUGAAGGAAGAAGUAUUUCGGUAUGUAAACUUCUAUCAGCAGGAAAGAAAAUGACGGUACCUGACUAAGAAGCCCCGGCUAACUACGUGCCAGCCGCCGC
Molecule: ribosomal RNA, 494 nt
Filed under: uncultured bacterium
Lineage: Bacteria
Description: bacterial SSU rRNA
Rfam family: Bacterial small subunit ribosomal RNA
Source: RNAcentral